Molecule: ribosomal RNA, 207 nt
Filed under: uncultured bacterium
Lineage: Bacteria
Description: partial 16S ribosomal RNA
Rfam family: Bacterial small subunit ribosomal RNA
Source: RNAcentral
CUCGUAGGUGGUUUGUCACGUUGUCCGUGAAAACUCACAGCUUAACUGUGGGCGUGCGGGCGAUACGGGCAGACUAGAGUACUGUAGGGGAGACUGGAAUUCCUGGUGUAGCGGUGGAAUGCGCAGAUAUCAGGAGGAACACCGGUGGCGAAGGCGGGUCUCUGGGCAGUAACUGACGCUGAGGAGCGAAAGCGUGGGGAGCGAACA